UCCGCCGUCUGCAGGCAAUGGCGGCGCCUCGCCACCGACCCCAAAUUCCUCCGCCGCUUCCGCGAGCACCACCGCAAGCCGCCGCUCCUCGGCGUCUUCGAGUGCCGCGACGAAGCCGUGGUCUUCACCUCCGUCCUCGACCCUCCCGACCGCAUCCGUCCCGAGCGCUUCGACCUGGGACGCUACAGCGGCCGCCGCGACUACACCUUGGCCUGCUGCCGCCACGGCCGCAUCCUCGUCUUAGACCAUGUGGACGGAUGCCUCGUCGUGUGCGCCCCCAUCACCGGCGAGCAGCGCCGCGUGGCCGUUCCGCCCGAGUUCAUGACGGGCCCCCUCAACGGGGAGGUGCUCUGCGCUACCGGCGACAUUGGCCACGUGCACGGAGAGUGCCACUCCGGCCCCUUCAAGGUGGUCCUGGUGUCCAUGAUCGGAGAGGAUUUUCGACCCAUCGCUUGUGUCUACUCCUCUGAGACCGGCUUAUGGGGCAGUCUCGUAUCAAGUCCAUGUUCACCUCCUUUCGGGUAUGGUAGAACUGGCAGACUUGUUGGCAACACACUUUACUGGUUGCUUUGGUCUGUUAUGCGGGAUAGCAUACUUGAGUUUGAUUUGGAAAAUUUGAGUCUGGUUUUGAUGGAUCAGCCACCCAUUGACGAUGAUUUUCGCCUUGCCGGCUGUCAGAUCAUCAAGGCUGAGGAUGACGCUCUUGGCUUUGCCUAUUUGUCUUACCCAAGCUUCCAAAUGUGGCAGAGGAAUUUCAAUGCUCAUGGUGUUGCCAUAUGGGUGCUGUGGAAGACCAUCGAAUUGCAUAGCAUUCUUGGGCUUCCUCCUCAUAUUCAGAGACCCACAGGGAAGAUGGGAGUUAUACUGAGCUAUGCUGAGGAUACUGAUGUAGUUUUUAUAUUUGUGGAUGCAAAUGUCUACAUGGUUCAACUUAAUCCAAUGCAAUCCAAGAAACUUCAUGAAACAAAGUGCAUCCUUGACAACUAUCCUUUCACAGGUUUCUAUACACCGGGUAAUUGCUCAUCUUAG
RNAcentral lists this ribosomal RNA (1029 nucleotides) under Triticum aestivum (bread wheat). Its description in RNAcentral is "partial small subunit ribosomal RNA". Lineage: Eukaryota; Viridiplantae; Streptophyta; Magnoliopsida; Poales; Poaceae. The record is from RNAcentral.